This 464-nucleotide ribosomal RNA is filed under the name uncultured bacterium. RNAcentral describes it as "partial 16S ribosomal RNA". It matches the Rfam family "Bacterial small subunit ribosomal RNA", at positions 29 to 507 of the family's 1533-position model. The record is from RNAcentral.
ACGAACGCUGGCGGCGUGCUUAACACAUGCAAGUCGAACGGAAAGGCCCCUUUGGGGGUACUCGAGUGGCGAACGGGUGAGUAACACGUGAGUAACCUGCCCUUGACUUCGGGAUAACUUCAGGAAACUGGGGCUAAUACCGGAUAGGAAUCCUUGCUGCAUGGUGGGGGUUGGAAAGCUUCGGCGGUUUUGGAUGGACUCGCGGCUUAUCAGCUUGUUGGUGGGGUAGUGGCUUACCAACGCUUUGACGGGUAGCCGGCCUGAGAGGGCGACCGGCCACAUUGGGACUGAGAUACGGCCCAGACUCCUACGGGAGGCAGCAGUGGGGAAUAUUGCACAAUGGGCGGAAGCCUGAUGCAGCAACGCCGCGUGCGGGAUGACGGCCUUCGGGUUGUAAACCGCUUUCAGCAGGGGCGAAGCUUGUGGUGACGGUACCUGCAGAAGAAGCACCGGCUAACUACGUG